Molecule: non-coding RNA, 327 nt
Organism: Paramuricea clavata
Lineage: Eukaryota; Metazoa; Cnidaria; Anthozoa; Malacalcyonacea; Plexauridae
Source: the annotation of a GenBank genome assembly
CUCAAAACCCCUCUUCCCUAUACUACUAAUGUUUUUGUUUGCGAGUUGUUAAAAAAAUCGUCGUUAUACAUCGCCACCUACAGUGAUUGCUAGCAGAACAGAACAGAACAAAACUAAACAGAGUAGAACAGAGCAGAACCGAGCAGAACCGAGCAGAACCGAGCAGAACCGAGCAAAACCGAGCAGAACUGAGCAGAACCGAGCAGAACAGAGCAGAGCAGAACAAAGCAGAACAGUGCAGAACAGAAUAGAAUAGAAUAGAAUAGAAUAGAAUAGAAUAGAAAGAAUAGAAUAGAAUAGAAUAGAAUAGAAAAGUUUCAAUUAAAG